UUUCCGUUGGUGAACCAGCGGAAGGAUCAUUACAGAGAUCAUGCCCUCACGGGUAGACCUCCCACCCUGUUUAUAUACUAUUGUUGCUUUGGCAGGCCCGUCCUCGGACCGCUGGCUUCGGCUAGUCCGUGCCUGCCAGAGGACCCCAAACUCAUAUUAUCUAUGUCGUCUGAGUACUAUAUAAUAGUUAAAACUUUCAACAACGGAUCUCUUGGUUCUGGCAUCGAUGAAGAACGCAGC
This 240-nucleotide unclassified non-coding RNA is filed under the name uncultured fungus. Its description in RNAcentral is "sequence contains ITS1, 5.8S rRNA gene". The stretch from base 192 to 240 matches the Rfam family "5.8S ribosomal RNA", at positions 1 to 49 of the family's 154-position model. Lineage: Eukaryota; Fungi. The record is from RNAcentral.